Molecule: non-coding RNA, 271 nt
Organism: Paramuricea clavata
Lineage: Eukaryota; Metazoa; Cnidaria; Anthozoa; Malacalcyonacea; Plexauridae
Source: the annotation of a GenBank genome assembly
CAAAAACGGUUACAUAGUUUGAAAGAACAAAUGAAUAGAAAGAAAGGAAAACAACUUAUCAGUAACUAGUUAAUAAGUAAAGAUUAAUGUUAAGUGCAUGGUUAGAAUAGUUAAGGUUAAUAUUACAUAACUAAAAUAACUCAAGAGGGGUAGAUCUAAUAUUAGCAUUAAGGACAGGGUUAAGUUGAGAUAUUAAUAGGCUUUCACGGAUAAGAAGAUCCCACUCAGAAGUGCCUGAUGAUAGGAUUUUGAAAUCAGAAGCGGAGACUGG